Molecule: ribosomal RNA, 441 nt
Filed under: uncultured bacterium
Lineage: Bacteria
Description: partial 16S ribosomal RNA
Rfam family: Bacterial small subunit ribosomal RNA
Source: RNAcentral
CCUACGGGAGGCAGCAGUGGGGAAUAUUGCACAAUGGGGGAAACCCUGAUGCAGCGACGCCGCGUGAGUGAAGAAGGAAUUCGGUAUGUAAAGCUCUAUCAGCAGGGAAGAAAAUGACGGUACCUGAGUAAGAAGCCCCGGCUAACUACGUGCCAGCAGCCGCGGUAAUACUGGGGAUGCAAGCGCUAACCGGGGAUAUGGGGUUUAAAGGGUUCGCAGGCUGGGAGGUAAGUCAGCGGUGAAAUGCCCCGGCUCAACGGGGUGAAGUGCCCUUGAUACUGCCUUGCUGGAAUGCGGAUGGCGAGGGAGGAAUGUGUGGUGUAGCGGUGAAAUGCAUAGAUAUCACACAGAACACCGAUUGCGAAGGCAGCUCACGAACCCGCGAUUGACGCUGAGGCACGAAAGCGUGGGUAUCAAACAGGAUUAGAUACCCUAGUAGUC